Panthera pardus (leopard) is the source of this 81-nucleotide small nuclear RNA. NCBI's taxonomy places the organism in Eukaryota, Metazoa, Chordata, Mammalia, Carnivora, Felidae. The record is from Ensembl.
UUUUAACUGGAACAACAGAGAAGAUCAGCACUGCCCUUGUGCAAAGAUAACACGCAAAUUCAAAAAGCAUUCCAUAAAAAA